UGGGGAAUCUUGGACAAUGGGCGCAAGCCUGAUCCAGCCAUGCCGCGUGAGUGAUGAAGGCCCUAGGGUUGUAAAACUCUUUCGUGGGGGACGAUAAUGACGGUACCCCAAGAAGAAGCUCCGGCUAACUUCGUGCCAGCAGCCGCGGUAAUACGAAGGGGGCUAGCGUUGUUCGGAUUUACUGGGCGUAAAGCGCGUGUAGGCGGGCUGGAAAGUUGGGGGUGAAAUCCCGAGGCUCAACCUCGGAACUGCCUCCAAAACUUCCAGCCUGGACUCAAGUAGAGGCAAGUGGAAUUGCGAGUGUAGAGGUGAAAUUCGUAGAUAUUCGCAGGAACACCAGUGGCGAAGGCGACUUGCUGGGCUUGUAGUGACGCUGAGACGCGAAAGCGUGGGGAGCAAACAGGAUUAGAUACCCCAGUAGUCCCUGAGCGGGCUGGCAAGGCGCAU
Molecule: ribosomal RNA, 447 nt
Filed under: uncultured bacterium
Lineage: Bacteria
Description: bacterial SSU rRNA
Rfam family: Bacterial small subunit ribosomal RNA
Source: RNAcentral